UGUCAGGUAGCACAAUGGUAGUGCAUUCGACUGUUAAUCGAAGGGUUGUAGGUUCGAGUCCUAUCCUGACAGCCA
This 75-nucleotide transfer RNA is filed under the name compost metagenome. RNAcentral's name for it is "tRNA-Asn". It matches the Rfam family "tRNA". From Rfam's summary of the family: Transfer RNA (tRNA) molecules are approximately 80 nucleotides in length. Their secondary structure includes four short double-helical elements and three loops (D, anti-codon, and T loops). The record is from RNAcentral.